Lepisosteus oculatus (spotted gar) is the source of this 702-nucleotide long non-coding RNA. RefSeq lists it as uncharacterized. The record is from RefSeq and is a predicted model, not a curated record. NCBI's taxonomy places the organism in Eukaryota, Metazoa, Chordata, Actinopteri, Semionotiformes, Lepisosteidae.
AACGGACACUGCGCGAGAGGGCGAAGACGUCUCUUCGGGAAUUUGGCGCCUUUCUGGGAUCAGUCGUGACUAUAUCCGGCUGAAAAAUAAAGAAAUAAAAUAAAAACAGUCCGCGAAGCCAUCGGAUUUAAGCGACCGCUCUCUGGAACAAGUGAGCACAGCACAUGUGAAGUUAAAAUGUCCUGGGUGUCUUUGUUUGAAAAAAAAAAACAACAACCACCAUUUCUUGGAUAUAACAACAGCUAAGGCGAAAUCUGAGAACAAACUCAAGUACAGCACCGCACUCCGGUCGCUGAGGCAAAUAAUGACUAUAAUGCAAACUACUCAUCCACACAACUGCCUGAGGUUGGCACCUUUGAACCUGACUUGACUAUAGGAAGAGCUUCCAGAGCUCUGCGGGUGCCGAACACACAGCUCCCGGAGCAGCAAGAAAGGAACAGAGGAGCAUGAAAAUGGAUGGAGAUGGAUGGAGACGGCACCCCAGACUCCAUCAGGCCUGCUGUGACCACAGCAACACACAGCCUCUGAGAGACCUCUCCUCUGAGACUGAGGCGCACUGCCCAACUGGGUUAUGAAAGCUCUCUAAACAGGCAAUGUUCACAUUUCCCAUUCCUGAUAUGUGACAGCUUAAUUGAGGGUGGCAUGGUGGCUCUGUGGUUAGCAUUGUUACCUUACACCACUAGAGCCCUGGGUUCAGUUCCA